AGCUAAUUAAGCAUCUCUCUACAUCACAAAGGAACAGUUCUUAUACACUGUUUUUCUCUUUAUUGAAUUUUAACAUUCUUAAGGUCACACAUCUUUUUCUGCCAAUAGAUACAAGAGAUAUGUGUAUCAAGAUAAAUGUUUCCUGAAAUGUUUUAUGUUUGAUUUAAAGAUGGCAAGCUUUAGCAGAAAAAAAAGUGACCUAUGGAUCAAGAGACAGACAUUUCGAAAGUCACCUAUCCUUAAUAGUUUUUCACUUGUGUUAUGAAGGACUUGAGCCAGGUGAUCCUCGAAGUAACUCCCCUCCCUAAAUUAGGGACACUAGUUCAUUAGUAUUGAAUUCAGGAGAGUUAUAGUAAUUUGUGUUUUAGCCAUAUAGCAAUCCAACGAGGUUGAUGGAUAUUGUUUAGUCCUAUUUUAUCUCUGCAGAUAUUAAGAUCUUAAUAAUCAUUGAUUCACCAAAUAUCUUAUAAUCAGAACCAUUUUGAAGGUUAAUCCCUUGGUUUGAAAAAUGUAUUAAUUUCCUAAAAGUUAUUUAAAAAUCUUUCAAAAGUAGACCUUUCAAAUAUCUCUUCAGUGAGUAUAUGGAGCCUAGAAUAGGCAGGAAAGUCUAGAAAAUGAAUAAUGACAAAGCUGAACGACUUGGUACCAGAAUUCAAGACUUAAUGUUAAACAAAAGUAGCUAAGACAGAGAGGUUUCAGCUUAAGGGUAGGCAGAUAAACCAAAGAGACAUCAUGGAGAGCCAAGAAACAGAUCCACACAGAUACGGUCACUCAAUUUAUAAUAAAAAUGCUACUGCAAUCCAGUGGGGACAAGAUAGUCUUCUCAAUAAAUGGAAAAAGGGAAAAGCUUUUCUUUACCUUGUGAGGCUUCAGUGGUGAAUUGGGUAUUUGGCCUAUGAAGUCCUAUUUUUCAUCAAAUAUAUUAUUUCUCAAAUACACAUGAAGGACCCAUUUUUUUUAAGUCAGUAAAUUCAGGAAUUCCCUAUUUCCAGUACAUAGAUUUGCUUAAGUAUCUUUCUUCUCUAAUACCUUUUAACUUCUCUCAUAGAAAAUCUAAAUCAGAGUUUAUAAAAUGAUAAGAUUAUGCAAUGUUUCACAACCGAGCUAUUUUAGUGCUUAGAAUAAGAUAUGGUAUAUAUUUCAAUAUAGUGUAUUAAAGUAUAUUUGUUUAAAAAUAGUAGAUUUUAUAUUGGAUAAAAUCUUAUACAAGGUACUAUAUAUAACAGCAGAAGGAAAAAUUUGUUAUUUCCUAUUUUCAGGGGGGCAACACGAGUAAUCAUUUAUUUGUUCCUUUAAAAAUCUUUUGAAUUUGAAAUCUGACUUUCAGAAUGUCUUAAUAUGUCAUAUAGUGUUCUACUACUCUCAGCAUGACACUUCAGAAAGUAA
RNAcentral lists this long non-coding RNA (1386 nucleotides) under Callithrix jacchus (white-tufted-ear marmoset). RNAcentral's name for it is "lncRNA (ENSCJAG00000083982.1)". The record is from RNAcentral. Lineage: Eukaryota; Metazoa; Chordata; Mammalia; Primates; Cebidae.